AUACGUAGGUGACAAGCGUUAUCCGGAUUUACUGGGCGUAAAGGGCGUGUAGGCGGUCUUGCAAGUCAGAAGUGAAAUUCCUGAGCUCAACUCGGGCGCUGCUUCUGAAACUGCAGGACUUGAGUGCUGGAGGGGAUAGCGGAAUUCCUAGUGGAGCGGUAAAAUGCGCAGAUAUUACUCAGAACACCGAUUGCGAAGGCAUCUCACGAAUCCGUCAUUGACGCUGAGGCACGAAAGCGUGGGGAUCAAACAGGAUUAGAUACCCUGGUAGUCCACGCAGUAAACGAUGAUGACUAACCGUCGGCGAUACACAGUCGGUGGCCAAGCGAAAGCGAUAAGUAAUCCACCUGGGGAGUACGUUCGCAAGAAUGAAACUCAAAGGAAUUGACGGGG
RNAcentral lists this ribosomal RNA (393 nucleotides) under uncultured bacterium. RNAcentral describes it as "partial 16S ribosomal RNA". It matches the Rfam family "Bacterial small subunit ribosomal RNA", at positions 523 to 918 of the family's 1533-position model. The record is from RNAcentral.